UACGUAGGGUGCAAGCGUUAAUCGGAAUUACUGGGCGUAAAGCGUGCGCAGGCGGUUAUGUAAGACAGUUGUGAAAUCCCCGGGCUCAACCUGGGAAUUGCAUCUGUGACUGCAUAGCUAGAGUACGGUAGAGGGGGAGUGGAAUUCCGCGUGUAGCAGUGAAAUGCGUAGAUAUGCGGAGGAACACCGAUGGCGAAGGCAAUCCCCUGGACCUGUACUGACGCUCAUGCACGAAAGCGUGGGGAGCAAACAGG
This 254-nucleotide ribosomal RNA is filed under the name uncultured bacterium. RNAcentral's name for it is "partial 16S ribosomal RNA". It matches the Rfam family "Bacterial small subunit ribosomal RNA", at positions 524 to 776 of the family's 1533-position model. The record is from RNAcentral.